Molecule: ribosomal RNA, 466 nt
Filed under: uncultured bacterium
Lineage: Bacteria
Description: partial 16S ribosomal RNA
Rfam family: Bacterial small subunit ribosomal RNA
Source: RNAcentral
GACGAACGCUGGCGGCGUGCUUAAUACAUGCAAGUCGAACGGAUAAGCAGAGCUUUCUCUGUGCAUCAGUGGCGAACGGGUGAGUAACACAUGAGUAACCUACCCUUGACUCUGAGUUAAGCGUUUUAAACAACGUCUAAUACUGGAUACGACGACCAAAGACCUCUUCUGUUUGUUAGAAGAAUAUUGUUCAGGGCUGGAUUCUCGGCCUAUCAGCUUGGUGGUAAGGUAAUGGUAAGCCAAGGCGAAGCCAGGUAGCCGGCCUGAGAGUGAGACCGGCCACAAUGGGCCUGAGGCAGGGCGCAGAAUCCUACGGGAGGCAGCAGUGGAGAAUAUUGCGCAACGGGCGCAAGCCUGAUGCAGCAAUGCCGCGUGCGGAAUGACGGCUUUUGGGUUGUAAACAAAUUUUUGUAGGGCAGAAGACAACGUGACGGUACCUGAAGAAAAAGCCACGGCUAACUACGUG